UGUCAUCAAGUUCACAGGCUUUCGGAGCUGGAAAGACCUUAGAGAGAAGUAUCACUCAACUUUCUCAGUGUGAGAUGAGAACACAGAGACACCAUAAGGUAAAGGACUUGUUCUAAGUGAAACAACAAGCUGAGACCACAGCAGAAAUCAGAGAGAACUCAGUUUAGUUUGAUCUUGCUUCCCUGGUAGGGAUGGCCCUCUUGCCAUGGACAAGAAUCCCUGAGAUCCUGCCAUCCACUGGAUUUCAGGCCAUGAUGUUAGGCUCUUUAUUUCUUCAGAAAGGGUUUCAAAGUAGGACCAGGGAUUUAGCUCAGUGGUUUUACCACCUGCUGCGCAAGCACAAGGACCCGAGUUUGAUCCCCGGUACCCCCCCCACAAAAAGAAGUACUAUUAUGAUUUGUACUCUCUAAUGCUAUAGACAUGGCAAUCAAUGCAUUUUCAGAAAGACAAAACAGAAACUCUCAUUAAAUAAGCACAAUGUAAAUUGAUUCCCCUUAAAAAAGAAAAGGAAAAUAAAGAGCUAAUAUAUUUGAAGAGAAUAGCGAUAUUUCAGAACUAGCAAGAUCUAGAAAUUUCAACCUGCUGCAAAUGGAAGGGGAACCUGUAGCUAGAGAACAACAUUACAGUUACACAGGCCUACUGGGGUAUUUCUGGAACAUUUACUGCCAUGCCACUCCCUUGUAACAGCAGUACCAGAACAGCACAAGCUCAACACACAGGUUUCUCCAAAACCAAGGUUCUUGCUAAAUCAAAUAUAAAGACCAAUUUUACUUUCUUAAAAUACCAACCAACUUUAAAGUUUAUUGUUUUAGGGCCAGGAAUUUAGCUCAGUGGUUCCACCACCUGCUUUGCACACGCAAGGACCCAAGUUCAAUCCCCGGUACCAAAAAUAAAUAAAUAAAUAAAGUUUAUUGCUUUAGAGAUUAGCAUCUAAUUUUUAAAACAUGAACACAAAAUAGCCCUCCCCCUGAGAGCUGAGGGUUUGGACAUAAAGAACCAUUCUAAGGUAUAAAAUGCAGCUGUAUUAGUGAGAGAUAUUUACAUAUUUUAACUUCAUUGAUCAUUUUUCUCCUCUCCUUCAAGUACUUAAGACACUAGAAUGGAAAAAAACCCAAAAAAUAAAAAACACAACAACCUUCAGGGAAACCCAGUCUACUGAGUAAUUUCUCAUUCAAUCCUCACAACAGUUGAGUAUUAUGUACUCUGACUUACAGAUGAGAAAAUGAAAACUGAAAGGGAAAUUUACUCAAGGUCACAAGUGUUGCUGAGGAUUGAAUCCAAGGUCCACAGAGCUCCACCCCCAGCCCCACAACUUAUUAUCUUAUGUGAUGAUAUGGGAAACAGGCAUAAUGCACCUCCACCACAUACCAAAAUACCAUGGCUUUGGCUGAAAAAAAAAGUACCUGAAUGAUUAUUUGAGCUGAAAUAUAACUAGCCACUUUUUACUUUGUUCUUUUUUUUAAAUUUAAGACUAUUUCACCCUAAAAGAAUGACUGGUAAUUUCAAACUUGAAUAUGUGGCAGAUAUUUUCUCAAAAAUAAAGUAAGUGAGACUAUCAUUUCAAGAAAAACUGUAUUUGUUGCCCAUGAUAAAAAAAAAUUGAGAUUUCAAGGAAAAAUGAUUAUUUUGGAAGUUCUCAUUUACCGUGAGACUUUGAUGAGAUCAACUGUGAAACUGACAAAUUGGAUAUUAUAUAAGGUCCUAUAUCAAUAUUUAGAAGACUCACAUAACUGAAUAAGCCAAAUUUUCCAAAUGACCAAUAUAGGAUCCUACAAAUCAUGCCUGGGAAAACGAUAACUCUCUUCACAGGUUUAAAGUAUAUAAUGGACCAAUGGAUUCUUAGUGUUAAUACAGAAAAACGUCAUUGAUUCUGUUUCUGAUUUCACACUGCAUCUCUUUUAAGAAACUACCACUUGUCAAGUUUCACUGUAGUAUCAAAGAAUAACCUGAAUUAUCUGAAAGAGUAUUAAAAUACUUCUCCCUUUUAAAAAAAUAUCUGUGGGGGCCCAGGAUUUAGCUCAGUGGCACCACACCUGUCUCGCAAGCACAAGGUCCUGAGUUCGAUCCCUGGUACUAAAAAAAAAAAAUGUCUGUGAGAGGCUGAAUUUUCUGUAUAUACUUUAAUCACAAUAGAUUACAUGCAGAAAUACUUAUGUGAAUCCUAUUGCCUUUUUUUUUUCCUGUUGCCUUUUUUAUGCCAAACAUUAUUAUAGAGAUAUUUCAAAAACUCUUCUCAGUAAGUAUUUUGUUGCGGGAAAUACAGUAAUUUUUCAUGAAAAUGCGACUUUUAUGUUAACAUGUAAUGGAUUUAAUAUUUUAAAUUUAUGUUUAAAUUAAUUUACUCAUAAUUUUUCUCAUUUUAAUUUUGAGUACAAUAAGUAUUGAUAGAUAUAAUCCAUGUUUGUAAGCUUCUCCAUAGUCUUCCAUAAUUUUUAAGUGUAAAGUCCUGAAAUAAAAGGAUUGAAAAAUCACUGCAUUCAUACAGCUAUUUGAUCUGUAAUGAAGGAGCAAAAUAUACAGUGGAAGAAAGAUAGCCUCUUUAAUAAAUGACGCUGAAGACAUGAAGAAGACUGAGUCUAGACCCAUAUAGCUCACCAUGUACUAACUAAAAUCAAAAUGUAUCAAAGAUCUAAAUGUUAAAACAGAAACAAUCUACUGGAAGACAAAAUAGGUACAAUUGCUGAAGACAUGGGUGUAGGCAAGAACUUUAUGAACAGAACCCCAAUGGCACAAGAAAUAAUACUGAGAAUCAAGUGGAAUCAUAUCAAAUUAAAAGGCUUCUGCAUAGCAAAGGAAAAAACCAACAGAGUAAUGAGACAGUCUACAGGGUGGGAAAAAAAUAUUUGCAAGCUAUUCCUCAGAGGACUAACAUCAAGAAUACGUAAAGAAUUUUAAAAAACAGACCCCUCCCCAAAUAAAAGACCCAAUCAAAAAAUGGGCAACUGGGAGACAGCAGCCUGCUGUGCGCCAAGCCCUGGAGAUAGCUUUCACAAGUCACGUGACCUGCUAUCACCAUUGCCCUGGGACUUUGCUGGUUUUACUCCUAAAAGUCUUGCAUCCCAGGAGUGCCUCUAGUCUUGGGUGAUGGGUUACCCUAUUACCAAACCUAAGCUUUAUUGAAUGCCUCUAAAUCAAGAAUUUGGUUUCUCUAUUGCAAAGGUGAGCUAGACUCAAUCAUUUAGUCUCUUUGACAAGAAAAUCUGAGGCUAAAAAAUGAGCAGAUCAUAACAAACAUUAGGGAUACGCACCGAGAUGCUGAGUGAGAGAAGACAGGCUUGGGGGGUGGGGGGGAGGCAACCAAAAUGAACACAUACUUCUCAGCAAAUGGCCAAUAAAUACAUGAAAAAUGUUUAUCAUUGCUGACCAUCAGAGAAAUGCAAAUUAAAAAUACACUGAGAUAUCAUCUUACCCCAGAAAGAAUAACUAUCAUCAAAAAAUCUAGUAACAAAUCCUGGUGAGGCUUGGGGGGGGGGCACUCCACUACAUUGUUGGUGGGAAUGUAAACUACUACAACCACCGUGGAAAUCAGUGUGAAGAUUCUUCAAAAAACUAAAAACAGAAAUUGCAUUUGACCCAGCUAUCAUCCUUCUAGGUAUCUUCCCGAAGCAGUUAAAAUCAUUGUAAUAAAGGGAUACAUGCAUACCCUUGUGUAUAGUAGCACAAUUUGUAAUAGCUAGAUUUUUGAAACAGCAUGUAUGUUCAUCAACAAAAGAAUGGCUAAGGAAAAUGUAGUAUUCAUAUACAAUGGAGUACUAAGCUGCCAUAAAGAGAUAAAGUUGAGGCAUCCCUGGGUAAACAGAUGCUACUUGAGAACAUAAUGUUAAGUGACAUAAAGACAUUCAAGCUCAAAUAUGGUGUAGUUUUUCUUAUAUGAGAAACACAAAAGAACCAAAUAGAAGACAGAUAAAUAGGAAAUAGGGCAAGUUCAAAUACCUCUCCAAACUACAAAUUCUGUUGUUUUAAAAAUACUUCAAUAUAUAUGCUAAUUGGUUUCAUUUAUACUACUAGUUUAUCUUAGUUUGGUGAAAACUUUGUGUUAUCUGUUUGUCCUUUUUAAUUUUUUGUUUUUUUGUUUUUUUGAAACAAGGUCUCACUAUGUAGUUCAGGCUGGCCUCAAACUCCCAGUGAUCCUCCUGGGUGCUGGGAUUAUAGGUGUGCACCACCACACUGGGCCAAACGUUUCUUUUUUUUUUUUUGGUAACAGUCUAUUUGGUUCAUGUCUUGUGUCUUAACUACUCUAAAGAUAAUAAUACCUAAUGUAAAAAUUGUUAUUCUCUUGUUAUUUAAUGAUAAAAUUUUGUUCUAUUUUUCAUAAAAUAAAAAUUUUAAAAUCACUUCAUUAUAUCAU
RNAcentral lists this long non-coding RNA (4348 nucleotides) under Heterocephalus glaber (naked mole-rat). RNAcentral's name for it is "lncRNA (ENSHGLG00100040830.1)". Lineage: Eukaryota; Metazoa; Chordata; Mammalia; Rodentia; Bathyergidae. The record is from RNAcentral.